RNAcentral lists this long non-coding RNA (1350 nucleotides) under Homo sapiens (human). RNAcentral's name for it is "HSALNT0088940". Lineage: Eukaryota; Metazoa; Chordata; Mammalia; Primates; Hominidae. The record is from RNAcentral.
GAGCUUCCCAGCAGCUUUGUUUACCUAAGCAAGCCUGGGCAAUGGCGGGCGCCCCUCCCCCAGCCUCGCUGCUGCCUUGCAGUUUGAUCUCAGACUGCUGUGCUAGCAAUCAGCGAGACUCCGUGGGCGUAGGACCCUCCGAGCCAGGUGUGGGAUGUAAUUUCGUGGUGCGCCGUUUUUUAAGCCCGUCGGAAAAGCGCAGUAUUCGGGUGGGAGUGACCCGAUUUUCCAGUGAGAUGAACCCGGUACCUCAGAUGGAAAUGCAGAAAUCACCCAUCUUCUGCGUCGCUCACGCUGGGAGCUGUAGACCUGAGCUGUUCCUAUUCGGCCAUCUUGGCUCCUCCCCCCAGGUGUCCAGAAUUAUCACUGGUACAGGAGCAUAUUUAUGUUAAUUUCUUAUUUUGGAUAUUCCUGAACAUUGAAGAUUUUGAAGCUAGUACAAAUUUGAACCACACACUUGUUCAUGAAACAGGCUCAGAGUACAAAUUCUUCAGGAACUCAAGCAGAGAUAGCAAAACCUAAGUUUCAGAAACAGAAUAAGAUGGUUGAAGACUUUCAUUAUCUUUCUGAAUUGUAGAGUUUAUCAACUGUAUAAAUGUUUUGCCUCAAUGGGAGGAGGUAUUAUGACUGAAUUGUACCUUCAAUAAACCUCUUGCCAGUGCUGGAGAAAAAUUUCCUUGGGCUGGGCAGCUUAGCCACACCUAAGAAAACAAUGAAUGUGAAAGCACUUUAAGAGUGAAGUUCUGUGUGGAGUCCUCAUGGUGAACAUUAUGCUCUGCACUAGGCUAUGAAAUGAUGAUGGCCAACCAUGGAUAGAAGCUAGUGGGGCUUUCUACUCUGCUUAAACUGUUCCCAUUCCAAUGUGCAAAACACUGCUCAAGAGUUUCCUUGUUGGAGACUGACAGACAGAAAAGAAGAAGAAUGCAUUGUGUUCUCAGAGAAACCCAGACAAGAAAAGAUUGGAGCUGCUGAGCUGAGAGCACUGAGAACUGAGAGCACUCAAUCUUUUAUGUCCUUUUGGAGGUACAGCAUGGGAGAAAUGGGAUCACCUGGUAGUAGGACUCCAGUUGCUCCCAAUGCGACUUCCUGCCUUGGUGAAGUCUACUGGAAGGAGUGUUGACUCUGUUAGAGACGUACAAGUAGAGAGCUCCAGCAAGCUGGAAAUAGGAGUCUGUAGUCCAGCAGAGAAGUCAGGCUUGAAGAUACAAAUUGAGGAGUCAUCAAAGUAUGGAUGACAUUGGAAGAGAAGGAGCAAGAUGACAUGACUUCAAGAGUGGGUGCAGGUGGGCUGCUUCCCAUCAUGGAGGCGGUUGGAGCUGCUGACCUUGCCAAGAGAUAGGCAGACACAAA